Molecule: ribosomal RNA, 468 nt
Filed under: uncultured bacterium
Lineage: Bacteria
Description: partial 16S ribosomal RNA
Rfam family: Bacterial small subunit ribosomal RNA
Source: RNAcentral
GACGAACGCUGGCGGCGUGCUUAACACAUGCAAGUCGAACGGAAAGGCCCUGCUCUUGUGGGGUGCUCGAGUGCCGAACGCGUGAGUAACACGUGAGUAACCUGCCCUUGUCUUUCGGAUAUCUUCAGGAAACUCGGGCUAUUACCGGAUAUGAUCUCUUGCUCCAUGUUGUUCAUUGGAAAGUUUCGGCGUUUGGGGAUGGUCUCGCGGCUUAUCCGCUUGUUGGUGAGGUAGUUGCUUACCAAGGCUUAGACGGGUAGCCGGCCUGAGCGGGUUACCGGCCACAAGAGGACUGAGAGACGGCGCAGACGCCUACGGGAGGCAGCGGUGGAGAACAUUGCACAAUGGGCGGGAGCCUGAUGCAGCAACGUCGCGAGCGGGAUGACGGCCUUCGGGUUGUGAACCGAUGUCGCCUGUGACGAAGAGGGAGUGACGGUAAUGGGUAAAAAAGCACCGGCUAACUACGUG